This 1010-nucleotide long non-coding RNA is filed under the name Callithrix jacchus (white-tufted-ear marmoset). RNAcentral's name for it is "lncRNA (ENSCJAG00000070200.1)". Lineage: Eukaryota; Metazoa; Chordata; Mammalia; Primates; Cebidae. The record is from RNAcentral.
UCUCUAUUACAUCGCCAUUAACACAUCUGAUAAAAUGAAGAUAAACCCUGAAAACAGCUGCUUCUCCUGGUGAGGUAAGGGACCCCUUGGUGAUAGAGGUAGAAGAUCAGUUGACCUCACAAUAGCCCUGGCUCGGACCUGUGCCACACAGGGUUGGUCUCUCAUUGGUGCCAGUCUCCUCCCAAGCCCUCUGAUUUCCCUUUGGCACUGGGGGUCCAUAUAUGUUGGCCUGGGGUUUCCAUAACAAAAUAUAGUACUACAGAUUGAGUUGCUUAAACAACAGAAGUUUGGUUCCUUAUUGCUCUGUUCUGGAGGCUGGAAGUCCACGAUCAAGGUGUCAGUAGGAAAACAAACGGUGGUAUGGUUCAUCUUCUCAUUACUAACAACAGAAGAAGAAGUGAGAGAAUGUUUUCUAUGAUGAAUUCUCCUGUGAAUCCAAGCAGAAAAGAGGGAAAUGAAGGAGAGGGUAAAAUGGGCACUAACCCCUGCGUUCAGGCUCCACAGUCCAUCUUGAUGAUUUGGCAUCCUGAGAAGACACGAUUACUGCCUGUGGUGAGAAGCACCGUUUUAUCUAUGAAAGACUUUGCCAACUUCAAGCUUGAUGAGGAGAUAUAUGAGGUCCUGGAUCAGAAGAGGCCAGACAAGAAGCCACCAUCAGCAGCAACAGCAUGGGCAGGACAAACCUGAGACCUUGAUGGACCAUGAACACCAAUAGGAGAAACACAGGAACUUGAAGUCUAAAUGGGCAGACAAGACCAACACACACAAAGCAGAGCGUGGCACAAGGGCAAUGCCUGAUGCAACAAUGACUCCGGAGAAUCACUCUGACUCAGAAUGGCCAAGCAAUGGUAUCGGGAGGAAGUAGGAUAGAACUGAGCUUUGAAGGCUGUACUAAAAUCUUUACAGACUCCCAAGGUUAUCUCAAGUUCUCUCCAGGAAUUAGCUUCACCUCUUUGUGCUUUGGCUCCACAUCAGUUAAAUAGUGAUAACAUUUGAUUGUUGAGAACCAU